AGGAUAAACGCUGGCGGCGUGCUUCAGGCAUGCAAGUCGAACGAGUACUUCGGUACUAGUGGCGGACGGGUGCGUAACACGUAAGCAACCUGCCCAGAAGUGGGGAAUAACUUGCCGAAAGGCGAGCUAAUUCCGCAUGUGAUGGCCCCUUGUUGGAGGAGUCAUUAAAGGCGUAAGCCGCUUCUGGAGGGGCUUGUGGCCGAUUAGCUUGUUGGUGGGGUAACGGCCUACCAAGGCUGCGAUCGGUAGCUGGUCUGAGAGGACGGUCAGCCACACGGGGACUGAGAUACGGCCCCGACUCCUACGGGAGGCUAGCAGCUAGGAAUCUUGGGAAUGGGCGAAAGCCUGACCCAGCAACGCCGCGUGGGCGAUGAAGGCCUUCGGGUCGUAAAGCCCCUUUGCAGGGGACGAUGAUGACGGUACCUGCGAAUAAGCCACGGCUAACUACGUGCCAGCAGCCGC
RNAcentral lists this ribosomal RNA (462 nucleotides) under uncultured bacterium. RNAcentral's name for it is "SSU rRNA". It matches the Rfam family "Bacterial small subunit ribosomal RNA", at positions 26 to 518 of the family's 1533-position model. The record is from RNAcentral.